Molecule: ribosomal RNA, 400 nt
Filed under: phytoplankton environmental sample
Lineage: Eukaryota
Description: partial small subunit ribosomal RNA
Rfam family: Eukaryotic small subunit ribosomal RNA
Source: RNAcentral
AGCUCCAGUAGCGUAUAUUAAAGUUGUUGCAGUUAAAAAGCUCGUAGUUGGAUCUCGGGUCGUCGACAGCGGUUCGGGUUCAUGCCCGCCUACUGCUGCCGACACCUAACCGGCGGGAGGCGCCGGGUGCCCUUGACUGGGUCGCCCGUCGCGCCCGCCCAGUUUACUUUGAAAAAAUUAGAGUGUUCAAAGCAGGCUCCGACGCCUGAAUAAUGGUGCAUGGAAUAAUGGAAUAGGACCUCGGUUCUAUUUUGUUGGUCUCCGGAACUCGAGGUAAUGAUUGAGAGGGACAGACGGGGGCAUUCGUAUUGCGGUGUUAGAGGUGAAAUUCUUGGAUCGCCGCAAGACGAACUACUGCGAAAGCAUUUGCCAAGAAUGUUUUCAUUAAUCAAGAACGAAA